Molecule: long non-coding RNA, 5654 nt
Filed under: Brassica napus (rape)
Lineage: Eukaryota; Viridiplantae; Streptophyta; Magnoliopsida; Brassicales; Brassicaceae
Description: long non-coding RNA (BNAP_LNC016551)
Source: RNAcentral
UCUCUCUGUGUUUUUUGUUGUCCUUCAUUGCAUCUCAGAUCUUGGAUUGACCGUACCGAUCGUUGACCUUUCCUGAAUCGGAAUCUGGGUUCGCCUAAAAAUCAAACCUUUUUCCUUCGAGGAGCUCGAGACUGACGAUUUAUAUCGAAAAGGCUGAGUCUUUGGAUCUGGGUUAUGAUGUUGUGAACUGGCAUGGGACUGAUCGUCACACGAAAACAAGAAUAAGAGAUGACGCUUUACAUUCGUCGCGAAUCUUCCAAGGUUCGUUCGUUUGUAAAUCUUCUAAUUCAGCUUCUGGGUUAUUCAAUUCAUUGGCUGAUUCGUUGUUUUUGUUUUGUUUUGUGAAUAGCUGUGGAAGAGAUUUUGCUUUAUCUUUUUUCUUCCGCCCCGUCUGAGUUUAUCUUGGUAAGUGGUCCCUAGCUUCCACUUUAAUUUCUCUUAUUACAUCCCUCUCUCUUGCUCUUGUUUGGUCGGAGUGAGAAAAAAAAAACGAAAAGGGAAAGUGUGAGUCUCGUUUGCUUUCACACUUAGAUGAUCAAUUGGUGACAAAAAGUUGUUGAUUCUCCAAGGUUUUACUUAGAUCUGUGAACAAUUCUUUCCGUGUGAGUUAUUUAUUCCAAGAAUAUUCAUAAUCCUUCUCCAAUUCUACAACAUACUGUUGAGCUUCCUAAGAUUUGAGUCUAAAGUAUCAAACUGUUUCAACUCAAUUUUUUUGUGUGUGUGUCUCUAGUGGUUACAGUACACUUUCCUCAUGUUCUCUGUCUUAUUGUUGCAGAGUACUUAGUCUCAAGGUGGAUGGAAGAAUCAUCUAAGAUUUGGCAUUAGUGCACUCUUGAAUGCAAUAUAGAGCCAUUACUUUGAGGUUUCAGGUGAUUGCAUCACUAUAAUGAGGCAACAAAGAGCCUCUAAUGUUCAUGAGGAUAGAUGUAAGGAUGAGCUGGUGAAGCGUGAUAUGUUGGAUCCGCCAAGGUAUCUCCAAAGAGCUGAAGAUCUCCGCGGAAAGGCGCUGAGUUUUGGAGUUUUGGAUUGGAAACAGUUAGAAAAACGGAAGGAUACUGCUGCUUCAGAGGGAACCAAAGGAGCGUGUUGUAGCUAUGCUUCUUCAUACACUGCUUCGUUGGAACUAGAUUUAGCAACAGGGGCUGUUAAAAGACUGGAUCUAGAUGGAAGACAAGAUGAUGUCCAAGGCCAGUGUUCAAGUCCGGUUAAUGUAAUGGAAUUGAACCAAAACUCUUUAGAGAAACCAUGUUUGUCUGUGACAUCUAAAAACGAAAGACAUCCUUCUCCUCCCACUCGCCGGUUUAGUUUCAGUCAAAUGAGAAGAAGUUUCAGUAGUAAAGAAAGCUCAUCCUCUGGUCCUGUGUUCUCAAGCGCAUCUCAUGCUUCAGCUAAAUCAGGUCCGUUGACAUUCAACAACUCGGCCAUAACAAAACCAAAUGGUCACAGCAGAACAAGAUCAGGUCCUGUAAUGAAACCAAAGACUGACAAGAAUGUCACAUUACAAGUUCCUUCAAAACCUUCCAACACAAGAUCACACGCUCUUUUGCAGUUCACUUUGAGAAAAGGUAUCAGUUUAUAUCAGUUUGUGGUCGACAACAACGUUCUUGCUGCCACCAUGAAGAGUUUAGAUUCUUCUAGAAGGUCUUACACAUUGUAUUCAGUCAAAGAAGUAAAGAACAAGAGUGGGAACUGGUUAGGCCGCAACAGGAAUGAUCAUCCGUUUGUACAUACAAUCAUCGGUCAGAUAAAGACUAAUGCGGAUUCAGCAACUCACAGAACAGAAUCUGUUUUGUUUGGUGUUGAGACAAACGAAGAGCUUGCAGCAGCUAUUGUUAAGACAAGAAACAUGACUCAGAAGCAGAACACAACAACUACUGUUAUACUCCCUAGUGGAACUCACACGCUUCCUAAAGACAGUAAUGCCCCCCUUCCGUUGCUUGACCGGUGGGAAUCUGGUGGAUCAUGCGACUGUGGUGGUUGGGACAUUGGUUGCAAACUCCGUGUCCUCUCUAAUGAUCAUCAUACAAAGUCUAAACCUUUCUCAAGCUUUCAACUGUUUGGUGAUCAGGUAAGUUGUUCUGUUCAAAUCUCGUAAGUGUGAUUCAUUGUUAACACUUGGAACUCUUACAGGAAAGAGACGAGCCAGUAUUCAAAAUGGUAUCACACGACGAUGAACUCCAUUCAGUUGAGUUCGGAUCAUCGGUUUCUCUCUUGGAAGCUUUCUUUAUUGCAUUGGCAGUAAGCAGUCACCAGAACUGGUGUGAAGAGGAGGAGGAGGAAGCAGUGUUGAAGAGAGUAACAUCAACCAAGUACGCAUCAAACCCACCUGUUUCUCCAAUAGGUCGGGUCUAGUAACAAUCAUUUGGCUUAGCUGGCUGAGCUAGAGACUGUGUUGGGUUGUGCUUUAAUACAACUGUAAUUAAGAAUAUAUUUGGCAGAACUGUUUAGAAUUUGGGCAGUGUAUAAAAUAAAGUGAAAAUACAUUUUUAUAUUUUCAGCUUCAAAUCUCUUAACAACAAAAAAUCAAGUCAUUUUGUUAUAUCAAUAACCAAACAAAAUUAUCUUUGUAAAUUGUAACUUGGAAAUUUUUUGAUUCUUGUGUCCCGGAUUCAAAACACCUUUUAGAUGGAAGAUUAUUCUUUAAAUCGGGAUAUCUAAAGGCUAACUCGAGAUCUAAGGGAGAUUACGGACGUACAUAAGACCCAUAACUUACACUAGGGGUGGGAGUUCGGGUUCGGGUUCGAGUCGAAUAUUUCAGAUUUUCGGGUAUUUCGGUAUAGAGGUGUAGAACCCGUUCGGGUAUUUUUGAGCUUUGGGUCGGGUUCAGGUAUUUUUAGUUCGGAUUCAGUUAUUUCGGAUCGGGUUCGGAUAUUUAGAUUUUGAAAAAAAAUAUUAAAAUUUUCAUUUCUCAUAUUUCUUGUAUUUAAAAAUAUAACUUUCAUUUAACUAGGUUUUUAUUUUUAAUAUAUUGAAUGGUUAGUAGAUUUGGACAUAACAUUUUGAAACUAAAAAGACAUUAAUUUGGUUAUUGUUUUUAAAUUUUGGAUGUAACUUUUUGUUAAUUCUUGAAAAAAAAGUUUGACAUGCAUUUUAAGCGAGUAGCAAAUCAUUUUCUCCGUCAUUGUAUGUAUAUCAUAUGAACUUAAGAUAUGUGUAGUAUCAAUAUAAAUAUUUUAUAUAAAAUGAGAGAUAUAAAUUAGAAAUAUAAGGUUAAUUAUACAUAUGUUCGGUUAUCUUCGGAUAACCACUCGGGUUCGGAUUUUACCCGUUCGGGUUCAGAUAUCCAUUCUCUCCUAAUUCAAUACCCGUUCGGAUAUUUUACUACUUCGGUUCGGAUUUCGGUUCGGGUUUUUCGGAUCGGGUUCGGAUGCGGCUUCGGAUAUCGGGUAAAGUGCCCACCCCUAACUUACACUGUUAAUGAAACAAAAAUAAGUCUAAUUUUUUAAUACAAAGAUGUGUAUUUUACAUGGAAAUUAGUGGGGGAAAAGACAUUAAUUAGCAAAAAUAGUUAUCAUAAGACACCACAGUUUUAGACAGCCUAUGAGAGUAAGACCAAGACAAGAACUAAGCUAAUUUCGAAAAGAAAAAAAAUUACCUUCAGCAGUUAAAGUAAAAAAAACUAUUAAUCCUUUUUGGGGUUAGAUACGUUUAUGAAUUAUGAUACAGUAUAAACAACGUAUUGAGGAUAGAGGGACAACUCAGCCGAGCAUGUAAGGAUAGAAACCUUAUUUGACAGACAUGCUUCGCUGCUUUUCCCUUACGUACCCACAUGCUCCUCCAAAUCAUAUAUCACGUGUAGUGUUGAUCCUGAAUUAAUAUUUAAACCUUGUAUUAAGUUCUUUUUAUUUGUUAACGAACUUUAUGCUAAGUUGCUAACUGGCCACUACUAGCUAAUCACCACCAUCAGACAUCACCUUUGAAAUUUUAAAAUAAAGCGUCAAUAACGGUUGGUGUUGGUGGGUUCUUCAAUUUCAUCUCAUGACCAUUGACUACUUUUUUUGGUUUAUCGAGAAAAUCUCUAUCCGAGACUUCUGAAAAAAAAAUUAUAUUGAGCGAUGGAAGUUUCCUAUCAAGAAAUAUCAUAAUUGAUAUAGUAAUAUUAGUAAUCAUCCAUGAUCUAUAGCUAGAUGUUAUUUCCCGUUCUUUAAAAAGUGUUUUUGAGUAAUAAUUUUUUUUGUUGAAAAUAUGCAUGCGUGAAAAAAACACAUGAAUCAUUCAUUAUGUUGAGAAAAUAGGGUAAAGACACAUGAAUCAUACAUUCAGUAUGACUCGACAAUCAUUACCAGGUAAAAUAACUUUUUAGAAUAGCAAAACGAGGGUAAAGACUACAAAACAAUAAUGGCAAAAUGUAUUUAUUUGUGUGUCUUAUUUGACCAAAAUGUAAGGAGUAACGAACAGUUCUAGAAACAAGUUAUGAUAUUUUGAACACCAAAACUUAAUGGGACGAUUGAUAGACUGACUUUCAGUAUUGAAUUAUUUCACAAGGAGACUUUUAUGACUUUUCUUAUAUUAUUGGCAAAAAAAAAAANNNNNNNNNNNNNNNNNNNNGUUUUUUUUUUUUUUUUUUUUGAGAAAGGGCUUAAAAAAGAAGACUUUUCUCACAUAAAUCUCUCUUUGUUUUUUUAAAGAACACCAAUCUUUUUUGGUUUCCUUGCAAAUUCUUUUGUUUUGUUCAAAACCCUCCAAAAAAAAAAUUGAAGAAUUUUUAUAUAGAAUUUCACGUUUUCCUUAAAAUAUGUUUAUUUACGGUUUAAAAUAAUUAAAACUAAGACAAGGGGGAGCGUACAAACAUACACUACAAUGUUUUUGACUUGGAAUAAAUUAGAUUCAAAAUAAUAAAGAGAGUAAGGAUAAAACGUAUCAUUAAUAUUAUCUGUCUUCAAAGUUCAGUUAAAAAAAAUGAUAUCAUACAACGUGGUAGCUAAAAUUUGUUGUAGAUCAAUUAAACUUCCAUCAAUAAUUAAGUUUAUAGCCAACAUUAAUAGUUUAAUCACAGCUAAGCCUAAAUACAACCAAUCCUAUAGUUACCAUUUGUUUCUAGUCCUACAAUUCAAUCUGAUAGAUUCAUAAAUAAAAGAUGUUGAAAACUGUUAAAAGUUUAAUUUCAACACACAAUAAAAAAAAAAUACAUAUAUAUGAAAGAAAGAAAAUAUUUUAGUAGUCUUUUUCGACUAUAAUUUCAUUCUUCGUAUACGUAAAUAAUUGUGUAUAUAUAAUUACAUUAGAAAAGUUGAAUAUUAUUUUGUUUUUUUCUUUUAAACUCAAUUUACAAUUCAACCGUUUCUCCGUGUUGAACUCUCUUCUCUCUCUGCCUUUAUAAAAUAUAUCAAUCUAGGGCUUGGGUUGGCUUCCUCAGAUUCUGCUUAAGGAAAUCUAUUUUCUUCAUCUUCUCUCUCUCUCUCUCUCUCUGUGUUUUUUGUUGUCCUUCAUUGCAUCUCAGAUCUUGGAUUGACCGUACCGAUCGUUGACCUUUCCUGAAUCGGAAUCUGGGUUCGCCUAAAAAUCAAACCUUUUUCCUUCGAGGAGCUCGAGACUGACGAUUUAUAUCGAAAAGGCUGAGUCUUUGGAUCUGGGUUAUGAUGUUGUGAACUGGCAUGGGACUGAUCGUCACACGAAAACAAGAAUAAGAGAUGACGCUUUACAUUCGUCGCGAA